CUCAUGGGAUAUAUGGUUGAAGAGUUUAAGCCAAUGCCAUUUCUCUAAUGGCAAUAUAUCCUAAAAUGCUGGAUGCAUCCAUUCCUUUCAGUCCUUCAGCUUUCCUUACCCUGAUGAUUGGCUGAUGUGUCCCUUUACAGGGCUGAUGCUCUUCUUUCACCUUCCCAGAGUGUUGUGUCUGAAUUUUGAGAAGAAUAGUAAGCUGCCACAGGAACUGGACAGAAAAUCACCAGUUAUAACUGCUGCAAAAGGAAGGAACCAAGGCACUUUUGUACUGCCAACCAAAUGUUGUAAGGAACUGAACCCAAUUCCUUCCUGUUGCUGCCUGCAUGGUAUGGCUGCCUGGAGAAAGGAGAGAUUGCAGCUACAACUAUUGCUGCAGAUUAGUGGUCCCUCUGCCAGAAUGGAGGCAGCAGAAGUGAUUGCAUUCAUCAUAACAGCUGUUUUUGCUCCUGCUCAGCAUAAGAGAAUCCUUCUUGUCCUGUCUUAGCUUUAACUCCAAUUAUUCAGAUUUUCCUGCAUAAGCACACAUACACAGUUGGCUUUCUGUCCUUAAGGAAACCAGCUGAAGAUGAUGCAAGGGAAUUGUAUGCUCCAAUGCAUGAGGGAGAGUCAGUGUCUUACUGAAUGCAUUUGUAGCUCUUCAGAAAAUAUGUGAAUGUAUGUUGUGUUGUUCUUGUUGAUCAAAAGACUAGAUUACUCUUAGAAAGAAAAACUUAAAGUGCAUUUUUUGUUCCUUUAGCAGCAGUCAUGACACUGUCAGUUCUUGUAAACCACUGUAAGAAGUCAAACAUAAUCCAGCUGUAAAUGAGCAAGUUCUAGUUGCUUGAUCACAAAUUAUGUUCUCCUUUGAAAUAGUUUCUUUGAAACCCAAGUUUGUUUUCAUUAUCCAAAUAUGCUCGGGUGUUGGGGGGAGAUGAUUUCAUAAUGUAAUAACAGUUACUUGAUACUUGACAAAAUAGUAGCUUUUAUAAUUCCAUAGAUAUUUUAAGAAAUAAACAAAAUACAUGUUAAAUCCUACUUGCA
RNAcentral lists this long non-coding RNA (1026 nucleotides) under Anser brachyrhynchus (Pink-footed goose). RNAcentral describes it as "lncRNA (ENSABRG00000021647.1)". Lineage: Eukaryota; Metazoa; Chordata; Aves; Anseriformes; Anatidae. The record is from RNAcentral.